UCUACGGGAGGCAGCAGUGAGGAAUAUUGGUCAAUGGACGAGAGUCUGAACCAGCCAAGUAGCGUGAAGGAUGACUGCCCUAUGGGUUGUAAACUUCUUUUAUAUGGGAAUAAAACGUUCCACGUGUGGGAUUUUGUAUGUACCAUAUGAAUAAGGAUCGGCUAACUCCGUGCCAGCCGCCGCGGUAAUACGGAGGAUCCGAGCGUUCUCCGGAUUUAUUGGGAUUUAAGGGAGCGUAGGUGGAUUGUUAAGUCAGUUGUGAAAGUUUGCGGCUCAACCGUAAAAUUGCAGUUGAAACUGGCAGUCUUGAGUACAGUAGAGGGUGGCGGAAUUCGUGGUGUAGCGGGGAAAUGCGUAGAUAUCACGAAGAACUCCGAUUGCGAAGGCAGUUCACUGGACUGCAACUGACACUGAGGCUCGAAAGUGUGGGUAUCAAACAGGAUUAGAUACCCGAGUAGUC
Molecule: ribosomal RNA, 460 nt
Filed under: uncultured bacterium
Lineage: Bacteria
Description: partial 16S ribosomal RNA
Rfam family: Bacterial small subunit ribosomal RNA
Source: RNAcentral